AGCCUGAUCCUUGACAAAGACUGACAUAAUUAUUCAGUGAACUGGUGUUAUCUUGGAUAUUAUCUUUAAAUGUUGAUGGUUUAGGGAGCAAUCCAAACUCCUGCUAGUCUAGUGGAGUCACGUGGGGCAAUGGGGCCAUGGCUGCAUCCACAGCCCUGCCAUGCAUGACAACCAAGGCAGAAGGGAGCAGGCAGAUAAACAUCCCCUCCUCCUGUUAACUUCUUAAUACUCUUGUGGGGAGCUAUUUGUGUGUUUGUUUUGUCUCAGACGCUGAUAUGUGUUGACCCAUCUCUGCUUACUUAAUACAGUGGUACCUCGGGUUACAGACGCUUCAGGUUACAGACGCUUCAGGUUACAGAUCCCGCUAACCCAGAAAUAGUACCUCAGGUUAAGAACUUUGCUUCAGGAUCAGAACAGAAACAAUGCUGCAGCGGCGGCGACAGCAGCGGGAGGCCCCAUUAGCUAAAGUGGUACCUCAGGUUAAGAACAGACCUCCAGAACGAAUUAAGUUCUUAACCCAAGGUACCACUGUACUGGCUCAUGAGUUUGCAUCCAGAUGGGUGUCAAAAAUGAUACAGUUCAUAUUCACCUGCGCAUUCCAUGCCUUCAAAGUACCGGUUCCCGUAGAUUUCAGAACAGUUUUCCAUUAGAGAAAUGUACCCCCACUUAAGGCCAAAUUGCGUUGAAAAUUCUAAAGAAGAAAUAAAUAACAGUUUGUGUUUUAUUUAUUAUUUCAUUUAUCAUUUAUUCAAUUAUUAAUUGUUCACAAUUCAAUACUUUCAUUCACUGUCCAUAAACUUAUCCCAUUUCAACCGUGGUUGGGUAAAUCUGAUUUUUUAAGUAUCUGAUGAGACUUUUUUCCAAUGCAGGACAAAACAACUUGCAUUUUUUUUAAAAAAAAAAGUGAAAAUUUCACAUAAAUUUUUAAAAGUGAAAAAUUUCACAUAAAUUUCAUUCAAGUCUCUGAAUGAAGGAGUUGUGAAGACUUGGCCAACAUGGAUUUCCAAACCAGUUAGCAACAGUUAUCUUCAAAGAGCUCACACUGUAGUAGCUGAAACUUGAAGAGACUCCCAAAUCCACCUGCGGAUUCCAUCCCGGAGAAUUUCACAGUCCCUUUGAGAAUUUUGGAAUGUAAUUCCUUUUCUCAUGACUUGAUACAGGAUGGUGGGGGAGGGGGAAGAAGGGGGGGUGAGAUGUUCAGCUGAGACCAAUAGGAAAUGCUAGUGACACAGCUUUUAAUGAGCUGUUAUAUAGAAGAGUUGAAAGGAAGUGCUUUUGUAGCUUAGCAAAGUAUGAGGCCAGAAGAGAUGAGGAAAUUGUAACCAUAAUUCAAAGAAGUAAUUAGCCUAUUCCAUUUACCUUCAUUGAGUCCCCAGCCGGACACUUUGCACUGGUGGCCACCUUUGAACAUGUAUUUUGACCAAGGGACACAGACUGGCACAGAGUCACGCGGGUAACAUGUUGAUUGGUUCUUGUCCCUGGGUUUCAUCUCCAGCAAAGCAAUGUCAUUUUCAUAUGUUUUGGUGUUGUACUUCUCGUGAACUAUUACUUUAACUACUUGAAAUGCUUCUAUUAUAUCUUCCUGUUUUACUGUGUUCAGCAUUCCAGUCCAUACCAAAUAAGUAUGUGCACGGCUCUCUCUGCAAAAAAGAAAUGUGUUUCAAGGAGUGCAAGCAGAAACACAAACUUUGGAUUAUGAAACAUUUUCCAGCUACUGAAACAAGUAGUGAAAUGGAUUAUAUACACAAGCGCCCACUUUUAGCAAUAGACUCCUGCACAGUUUUCCAUGCCUUUAUGAAAUCCAUUAGAUUAAAUCCAUUAGAUUAGAAACGCUGUGAUUUAGCAAAAAUAGCUGAGGCCUGGCUACAUAUUUAUUUAUUUAUUAUUGCAUUCAUUUUAAGAUUAACUUUUUUAAAAACCCACUUAAUUAUUUGCAUUUCUGGAAAAAAAAUCCACGGAAAAUGGGACAAUCAAACAAUUAAAAAACCUGAAGUUCAACCGACAGUGUGUCUCUCUAAUUUCAGUUGCGAGGGAGUUCAACCGUCUUGAGCUCACCCUGCUGAAUGCACGGCUUCUACUAGUUAUCAGCUGUGUGUCUGAGCCAUGGGGGACCACCAACAGAGAUUCCCCCAAAGAUCUCAAAGAAUUUCAAAAAAAUAUAAGGGACCAGUUAGGUAUUUUUAUUUAUUUACUUGUUUUGGGGGGGGGGAGCAACUGUCCCUCCUGCCCAACCCCCAGCUACGCCUAUGUCAAUUAAGCCAAUAUAGAACUCCUAGACCGUUGUAACGUAGAUGGAACCGUAGACGUCCAAGACCCUAAAAGUUCAUUUUGUUCUGUCUCUUGCUGCAAGGCAAUUCCCAUUUGAGAGUCGCCAAAUCCACUUACCUAACACAGUGUGCAGCCGUCAAAACCCAGCAGCCCCCAAUAUAAACGCCACCGCAGUUCACUCUUGUCCCUACAUCUUUAAUGGCCACUUGCCAGGGAAAUUCAUCCUGCAAAUACAUGAGGCAUGAUGUUACACUUUUCUAGACCAGUUCUCCUACUAAUAUUACUUGUAUGUGAUCCCCAUGUGGAACUGGAAGUAGGAGCAAAAAUCAACGUAGGUUGACAAAGUACGGUAGAUAUUUAUUUCAGACCCUACUGUUUCUACUCUACCUUCUUCAGGAAAAGUCAGAGAAACAAAGGUUCAGCAUUUUGAUGUGCUGCCUCUUCUUUUCCUAUUGGAUAAAGAAAUAGCUCCUUCAUCCAUUCCACUUUUUUAGUUCCUGCUUCUAGUUGGAUUUUAAAAAAUAAUAUUUGAUGUACUAAAAUGUCCUAUGGCAAAAAAAAAUCCACAAUAGGCCCUUAACUGGAGUGAUUCAACUGUGCCACCCAUUCA
Molecule: non-coding RNA, 2878 nt
Organism: Zootoca vivipara (common lizard)
Lineage: Eukaryota; Metazoa; Chordata; Lepidosauria; Squamata; Lacertidae
Source: RefSeq, a predicted model, not a curated record